GGUGGAGUGAUUUGUCUGGUUAAUUCCGAUAACGAACGAGACUCUAGCCUGCUAACUAGUUCGCCGACAUCUCGUUUGUCGCGCGGCGCCGCUUCGGCGGCAAACUUCUUAGAGGGACAGGUGGCGUUUAGCCACACGAAGUAGAGCAAUAACAGGUCUGUGAUGCCCUUAGAUGUCCGGGGCCGCACGCGCGCUACACUGAAAGAAUCAACGUGGAUGCCCACCUGCUCCGAGAGGAGUGGGAAACCCGAUGAAUCUCUUUCGUGAUGGGGAUUGGGGCUUGUAAUUGUUCCCCAUGAACGAGGAAUUCCCAGUAAGCGUCAGUCAUAAGCUGGCGUUGAUUAC
This 345-nucleotide ribosomal RNA is filed under the name Protolira valvatoides. Its description in RNAcentral is "SSU rRNA". It matches the Rfam family "Eukaryotic small subunit ribosomal RNA", at positions 1300 to 1648 of the family's 1831-position model. The record is from RNAcentral. Lineage: Eukaryota; Metazoa; Mollusca; Gastropoda; Trochida; Skeneidae.